RNAcentral lists this ribosomal RNA (433 nucleotides) under uncultured bacterium. RNAcentral's name for it is "bacterial SSU rRNA". It matches the Rfam family "Bacterial small subunit ribosomal RNA", at positions 30 to 507 of the family's 1533-position model. The record is from RNAcentral.
AUUGAACGCUGGCGGCAUGCUUUACACAUGCAAGUCGAACGGUCUCUUCGGAGGCAGUGGCAGACGGGUGAGUAACGCGUGGGAACAUACCUUUCGGUACGGAACAACAGUUGGAAACGACUGCUAAUACCGUAUACGCCCUGAGGGGGAAAGAUUUAUCGCCGAGAGAUUGGCCCGCGUUGGAUUAGCUAGUUGGUGGGGUAAUGGCCUACCAAGGCGACGAUCCAUAGCUGGUCUGAGAGGAUGAUCAGCCACACUGGGACUGAGACACGGCCCAGACUCCUACGGGAGGCAGCAGUGGGGAAUAUUGGACAAUGGGCGCAAGCCUGAUCCAGCCAUGCCGCGUGAGUGAUGAAGGCCUUAGGGUUGUAAAGCUCUUUCGCCGGUGAAGAUAAUGACGGUAACCGGUAAAGAAGCCCCGGCUAACUUCGUG